CCUACGGGAGGCAGCAGUGAGGAAUAUUGGUCAAUGGGCGAGAGUCUGAACCAGCCAAGUAGCGUGAAGGAAGACGGUCCUAUGGGUUGUAAACCUCUUUUAUCUGGGAGCAAAGUACACCAUGCAUAACGUUCCGAGUGUACCCGAUGAAAAAGGAUCGGCUAACUCCGUGCCAGCAGCCGCGGUAAUACGGAGGAUCCGAGCGUUAUCCGGAUUUAUUGGGUUUAAAGGGAGCGAAGGCGGAAGCUAAAGUCAGAGGUAAAAUUGGGAGGCUCAACCUCUUCUUGCCGUUGAAACUGGGUGUCUUGAGUGAGCGAGAGGUAUGCGGAAUGCGUGGUGUAGCGGUGAAAUGCAUAGAUAUCACGCAGAACUCCGAUUGCGAAGGCAGCAUACCGGCGCUCAACUGACGCUCAUGCACGAAAGUGUGGGUAUCGAACAGGAUUAGAUACCCCUGUAGUC
Molecule: ribosomal RNA, 459 nt
Filed under: uncultured bacterium
Lineage: Bacteria
Description: partial 16S ribosomal RNA
Rfam family: Bacterial small subunit ribosomal RNA
Source: RNAcentral